AGAGCUUUAUGGUUGUACAAAGUAAUUGGGUUCAUGCAUGGAUCUUUCAGUUCAUAAUUUCCCUUUUCCUUCCUGUCCUCCCCGCUUUCUUCUUCCUCUACUAGACUUCCUUUUGCUGAUCUAUUAAUUUAUAUGUGAUCAGUUUCUUAUGUAAUCUUAUCCUUACCUCCAUUUUAUUUUAUUCUAGCUUCUGUAUAUGAGAGAAAACAUUCAACCUUUGAGUUUUUGAGUUUGAGUAAUUUCACAUAGCAUGAUAUUCUCCAUUUUCACACCUUUUACUGGCAAAUGCCAUAAUUUCAUUCUUUUUAAUGGCUGAGUAGCACUCCAUUGAACGUAUAUACAACAAUUUCUUAAUUCAUUCCAAGGCAUCUCGGUUGAUUCCAUAAUUUAGCUAUUGUGAAUUGUACUGCUAUAAACAUUGAUGUGGCUGUGUUGCUGUAGUAUGACGAUUUUAGAUCUUUGGGGAAAAUACCAAGGAGUGGGAGAGCUGGAUCAAAUGGUGGUUCCAUCCCUAGUUUUUUUGAGGAAUCUCCAAACUGCAUUCCAGAGUGGUUGUACUAAGUCUGCAGUUAGAACAUCUAAUUUUGAACUGAGGACUUUUUGUAACUUUUUUAAUGGUCAUUGAUAUUUAAAAACAUAGUUUGCAAUGAUACUUUUGACCAAUAGGUGUCACCAUCUAAUUACCUAGAAAUUCCUCAAAUUUGGGACUUCUAGUUUUGCAAAGACUUGGAGCCUUCUGAUUUUGUAAAGAAUAACCUAUCUUAUCUAUUCUGCAUGUCUAAAAUUUGAAUUAUUCUAUUUAAAAAGAGAAAUCCUUAUACAUUGCUAAUGACUUCUUUGUUUUCUCCUCAUGCUAUUAAUCAUUAUUAUUAGAUGCCACUACUUGGGCUGUGAAACUAUAUUAUGUUUUAAAUAGAAAAUGAAUUUGCAGUAACUAGACUGUCUAACAGUUACACAUCAUUUUUUCCCAUUUUUUAAAUCACAACAUCCUGGGAAAGAAUGUCACAGUGCAGUCUAGUAUCUUGAGAGAAAGAUUCCUAAUGUAAGGCAAGUGGCAGCAGAAAACAUACGGUGAGGUCAAAUUUUUCUUCACCAGCAAAGAAGUCAGAAAUCUUAGCCAGAAAGCACUGUGUUUAGUCUAAUAUGGUUUCAUUUUGUUUCUAUUGUCAAGCAAUUAUUUAGUGCUUAUUGUCCCAUAAAAAAAGAAACCAUGUCUCUGAAAUAUGAAAGCAAACAGUCAAUAAGGGUUAGCUGUUGAGCUUUAGACAUGUUUGUAAUGUAUUGUGGCUUCACAGAAGAAUUAAAAACAUGUAAUAUGUGAACUAUAGAAAAAUGCAUCAAAAAAUGAACCAGUUAAGGUCUAGGGUUGUAGCUCAGUGGCAGAGCACUUGCCUAGCUUGUGUGAGGCACUGGAUUUGAUCCUUAGCACCACAUAAAAAUAAAUGAAUGAAAUAAAGGCAUUCUGUCCAUCUACAACUACAAAAAAAAUUUUGUUAACUGAACCAGUUAAAUUUUUUCAUGUUACUGUGCAGCAUUUAGAACAGGACAUGGCAAAAUUCAAAGUGGCUUCUGAAUCAUAAAGGAAAAUUCAAAAUUUAUAAUUAUUUUAAUAUUGUUCUGAUUGGAAAAAUAAGCCUCAGAGUAAUAUACACAUUAAUUGAACUUUAAGGACAAGUUAAAUAAGCAACAGAACUUAUACAAACAGUUUGUAGCUUUGUAGGCACGAAAGAAAAAGGUAUUAAACUAUAGCUGCUUUUUAGUCCUCCCCUUUAGUUUUUAAAUGAAAAAAUUCAAAAGCAUGAGUUAAUGCCCUGGAGAGACUUUAAGAGGUCUGUCCAAGGUUGCAUUAGAAUCCAGGUUCCUGGGUCUUUGUGAACUACUUCUCUUUUAAUUAGCAAUUUCUGAUAAUUCAGCUAGGCUUUUAAAUUAAUAUUUUAUUUUCUACUAAAAAAAGAAUUUUCAAGUACAGUGUAGGCUUUUAUAAUAUUACCAAUUUGCAUUACAUGAUCACUAUUUUUAAUGCAAUCUUAAUUAGAAACCGCAGCUCUACUUCAUUCAGUGCAUCA
RNAcentral lists this long non-coding RNA (2066 nucleotides) under Marmota monax (woodchuck). The record is from RNAcentral. Lineage: Eukaryota; Metazoa; Chordata; Mammalia; Rodentia; Sciuridae.